RNAcentral lists this long non-coding RNA (292 nucleotides) under Mytilus galloprovincialis (Mediterranean mussel). The record is from RNAcentral. Lineage: Eukaryota; Metazoa; Mollusca; Bivalvia; Mytilida; Mytilidae.
GUUCAUGAUUAAUUUAUGAAGACAUACAAUAUUUUGAAAACAACAAUCAAUAAAACGAAAAUAAAUAUUAAUAAAAUGCACACAAAUUUUCAUGCGCAGCUAGUAUGCACUUCAAUUCACUCAUUGAAACAUGAAUAAUCCUUGUUUGAGAGUGCAUUAGUCUUGUCUAAAAGUUAUUUUUAAGUGUGAGUCUAUUCCAUUUAUGUAUACAUGUAGAAUCUCUGCAGGCUUUCAAUGCUUCUCAUGUAACUUGAUAAACUUCCAAUGAUUAGGUUGACAUAAUUGUGAUCUG